GAGGCAACUCUUGUCCUAUGAAGGUUCUUUAUAGAGGGAUUGACUCAUCUUGGGAGACAGUUCCUCGUAGUUAUAACCUGCAACUUUUCUCUUUGUUUUUCUAAGGCAAGUUCAACUAAGCUAUUUACUCUUAAGUGUCUUGCUAUCAUCAAAAUCAAUCCUUGAGGAGCAAUAAAUGCAAAAUAAAAAAUUAUAGGGUUAUGCAUGCAACAAAAGUUUUGGGCGGUAUAUACGCAGAAAGCCCAAAACUUAAUAGAGAUUUUGGAAAUUGGCAAACCCUAAAUGGGAAUAUUCAUCAAAUGUUAUCCACUAAAUAGGGCAAACUCAAAAGAUGGGUGAUAGAAAAUCUAAAUAUUUUACAUCAGAGUGCACAAUCCUUGAAAAUGAACAUUGUAUGCCCUAAUCAUGAUAUAGUAGAGGCAACAAACCUUGGAAGUGAAUGUUCAACUUUUUUGAAAGCUUUUGUUUUGGAAAAACCUGCCAUGUCAAUGUCGAAGCCCUUAAGUCUUAUACUUUUGGAGAUGGACAAGCCUUGGGGACCAAAUGCCCAAACUUGUAAUCUAGGAUGUUUAGAUAUGAGCAAACCCUAUAGUUAAUUCGAAGGUGUGCCUUGCACAAAGGUAAGAUUGCUCCAUAUUGAUAUGGAGGUCAUAGGUUCGAAACAAGCUCCGCAUUCUUUGUACCGAGUACCUUAUUAGUUUGGUAUUGUACGGUACGAUACAUCUCUAUACCGAAAUAACUCUAACCAUUUUCUCAAUUUUUAUCUCGGUAUACCUCGUUAUGGACCGGUUCGCAUUUCGGUACGCCU
This 808-nucleotide long non-coding RNA is filed under the name Phoenix dactylifera (date palm). RNAcentral's name for it is "long non-coding RNA (PDAC_LNC012476)". Lineage: Eukaryota; Viridiplantae; Streptophyta; Magnoliopsida; Arecales; Arecaceae. The record is from RNAcentral.